RNAcentral lists this ribosomal RNA (463 nucleotides) under uncultured bacterium. RNAcentral's name for it is "partial 16S ribosomal RNA". It matches the Rfam family "Bacterial small subunit ribosomal RNA", at positions 28 to 507 of the family's 1533-position model. The record is from RNAcentral.
GACGAACGCUGGCGGCGUGCUUAACACAUGCAAGUCGAACGGAAAGGCCUUUUCGGCGGUACUCGAGUGGCGAACGGGUGAGUAACACGUGGGUGAUCUGCCCUGCACUCUGGGAUAAGCCUGGGAAACUGGGUCUAAUACCGGAUAGGACCGCACUUUAGUGUGUGUGGUGGAAAGUUUUUUCGGUGUAGGAUGAGCCCGCGGCCUAUCAGCUUGUUGGUGGGGUAAUGGCCUACCAAGGCGGCGACGGGUAGCCGGACUGAGAGGUUGGUCGGCCACAUUGGGACUGAGAUACGGCCCAGACACCUACGGGAGGCAGCAGUGGGGAAUAUUGCACAAUGGGCGCAAGCCUGAUGCAGCGACGCCGCGUGGGGGAGGACGGCCUUCGGGUUGUAAACUCCUUUCGCCAGGGACGAAGCGUUUUGUGACGGUACCUGGAGAAGAAGCACCGGCUAACUACGUG